GACGAACGCUGGCGGCGUGCUUAACACAUGCAAGUCGAACGGAAAGGCCCUGCUUUUGUGGGGUGCUCGAGUGGCGAACGGGUGAGUAACACGUGAGUAACCUGCCCUUGACUUUGGGAUAACUUCAGGAAACUGGGGCUAAUACCGGAUAGGAGCUCCUGCUGCAUGGUGGGGGUUGGAAAGUUUCGGCGGUUGGGGAUGGACUCGCGGCUUAUCAGCUUGUUGGUGGGGUAGUGGCUGACCAAGGCUUUGACGGGUAGCCGGCCUGAGAGGGUGGCCGGCCACAUUGGGACUGAGAUACGGCGCAGACUCCUACGGGAGGCAGCAGUGGGGAAUAUUGCACAAUGGGCGGAAGCCUGAUGCAGCAACGCCGCGUGCGGGAUGACGGCCUUCGGGUUGUAAACCGCUUUCGCCUGUGACGAAGCGUGAGUGACGGUAAUGGGUAAAGAAGCACCGGCUAACUACGUG
This 468-nucleotide ribosomal RNA is filed under the name uncultured bacterium. RNAcentral's name for it is "partial 16S ribosomal RNA". It matches the Rfam family "Bacterial small subunit ribosomal RNA", at positions 28 to 507 of the family's 1533-position model. The record is from RNAcentral.